Molecule: ribosomal RNA, 253 nt
Filed under: uncultured bacterium
Lineage: Bacteria
Description: partial 16S ribosomal RNA
Rfam family: Bacterial small subunit ribosomal RNA
Source: RNAcentral
UACGGAGGAUGCAAGCGUUAUCCGGAAUGAUUGGGCGUAAAGCGUCCGCAGGUGGCUAUGUAAGUCUGCUGUUAAAGAGUCUGGCUCAACCAGAUAAAGGCAGUGGAAACUACAUGGCUAGAGUGCGUUCGGGGCAGAGGGAAUUCCUGGUGUAGCGGUGAAAUGCGUAGAGAUCAGGAAGAACACCGGUGGCGAAAGCGCUCUGCUAGGCCGCAACUGACACUGAGGGACGAAAGCUAGGGGAGCGAACAGG